Molecule: non-coding RNA, 75 nt
Organism: Podarcis lilfordi (Lilford's wall lizard)
Lineage: Eukaryota; Metazoa; Chordata; Lepidosauria; Squamata; Lacertidae
Source: the annotation of a GenBank genome assembly
GCCUUACUAGUUUUUGCUGGUAGAGCAUGAGACUCUUAAAUCUCAUGGUCAUGGGUUCAAGCCACAUGUGGGGCA